GAGUUUGAUCAUGGCUCAGAACGAACGCUGGCGGCAGGCCUAAUACAUGCAAGUCGAGCGCGCCCUUCGGGGUGAGCGGCGGACGGGUGAGUAACGCGUGGGAAUAUGCCCUUCUCUAAGGAAUAGCCUCUGGAAACGGAGAGUAAUACCUUAUACGCCCUUCGGGGGAAAGAUUUAUCGGAGAAGGAUUAGCCCGCGUUAGAUUAGGUAGUUGGUGGGGUAAUGGCCUACCAAGCCUACGAUCUAUAGCUGGUUUGAGAGGAUGAUCAGCCACACUGGGACUGAGACACGGCCCAGACUCCUACGGGAGGCAGCAGUAGGGAAUCUUAGACAAUGGGGGCAACCCUGAUCUAGCCAUGCCGCGUGUGUGAUGAAGGCCCUAGGGUCGUAAAGCACUUUCGCCAGAGAUGAUAAUGACAGUAUCUGGUAAAGAAACCCCGGCUAACUCCGUGCCAGCAGCCGCGGUAAUACGGAAGGUGCAAGCGUUAAUCGGAAUUACUGGGCGUAAAGCGCGCGUAGGUGGUUUGUUAAGUUGGAUGUGAAAGCCCUGGGCUCAACCUAGGAACUGCAUCCAAAACUAACUCACUAGAGUACGAUAGAGGGAGGUAGAAUUCAUAGUGUAGCGGUGGAAUGCGUAGAUAUUAUGAAGAAUACCAGUGGCGAAGGCGGCCUCCUGGAUCUGUACUGACACUGAGGUGCGAAAGCGUGGGUAGCGAACAGGAUUAGAUACCCUGGUAGUCCACGCCGUAAACGAUGACAACUAGCUGUUGGGAGACUAUGUCUUUCAGUGGCGCAGCUAACGCUUUAAGUUGUCCGCCUGGGGAGUACGGCCGCAAGGCUAAAACUCAAAUGAAUUGACGGGGACCCGCACAAGCGGUGGAGCAUGUGGUUUAAUUCGAUGCAACGCGAAAAACCUUACCUACUCUUGACAUACUUGGAGGCUCUUGUAAUGAGAGUGUGCCUUUUGGAACCAAGAUACAGGUGCUGCAUGGCUGUCGUCAGCUCGUGUCGUGAGAUGUUGGGUUAAGUCCCGCAACGAGCGCAACCCUCACUUUUAGUUGCCAUCAUUAAGUUGGGCACUCUGAAAGAACUGCCAGUGAUAAGCUGGAGGAAGGUGGGGAUGACGUCAAGUCCUCAUGGCCCUUACGUGUUGGGCUACACACGUGAUACAAUGGGAGAGACAGACGGACGCUAAGCCGCGAGGUGGUGCUAAUCCUAGAAACUCUCUCGUAGUCCGGAUUGGAGUCUGCAACUCGACUCCAUGAAGUUGGAAUUGCUAGUAAUCGCGGAUCAGCAUGCCGCGGUGAAUACGUUCUCGGGUCUUGUACACACCGCCCGUCACACCAUGGAAGUGGAUUGCACCAGAAGUAGAUAGUCUAACCUUAGGGAGGGCGUUUACCACGGUGUGCUUCAUGACUGGGGUGAAGUCGUAACAAGGUAACC
Molecule: ribosomal RNA, 1443 nt
Filed under: uncultured marine bacterium
Lineage: Bacteria
Description: 16S ribosomal RNA
Rfam family: Bacterial small subunit ribosomal RNA
Source: RNAcentral